Molecule: ribosomal RNA, 253 nt
Filed under: uncultured microorganism
Description: partial 16S ribosomal RNA
Rfam family: Bacterial small subunit ribosomal RNA
Source: RNAcentral
UACGUAGGGUGCGAGCGUUAAUCGGAUUUACUGGGCGUAAAGCGUGCGCAGGCGGCCAGGUAAGACAGGUGUGAAAUCCCUGGGCUCAACCUAGGAAUUGCGCUUGUGACUGGCGGGCUCGAGUACGGUAGAGGGGGGUGGAAUUCCUGGUGUAGCAGUGAAAUGCGUAGAGAUCAGGAGGAACACCGAUGGCGAAGGCAGCUCCCUGGGCCUGUACUGACGCUCAUGCACGAAAGCGUGGGGAGCAAACAGG